AAUGUGGAUUAAUACCCCGUAAUAUCGUUGAGAGGCAUCUCUUGGCGAUUAAAGCUCCGGCACUCGAAGAUGGGCGUGCGUCUGAUUAGGUAGUUGGUGAGGUAACGGCUCACCAAGCCGACGAUCAGUAACUGGCGUGAGAGCGCGACCAGUCACACGGGCACUGAGACACGGGCCCGACUCCUACGGGAGGCAGCAGUAAGGAAUAUUGGUCAAUGGACGCAAGUCUGAACCAGCCAUGCCGCGUGGAGGAUGAAGGUCCUCUGGAUUGUAAACUUCUUUUAUCUGGGAAGAAAUGUAUUUUUUCUAAAGUACUUGACGGUACCAGAUGAAUAAGCACCGGCUAACUCCGUGCCAGCAGCCGCGGUAAUACGGAGGGUGCAAGCGUUAUCCGGAUUCACUGGGUUUAAAGGGUGCGUAGGCGGAUUUGUAAGUCCGUGGUGAAAUCUCCGAGCUUAACUCGGAAACUGCCAUGGAUACUAUAAGUCUUGAAUGUUGUGGAGGUUUGCGGAAUAUGUCAUGUAGCGGUGAAAUGCUUAGAUAUGACAUAGAACACCGAUUGCGAAGGCAGCAGGCUACACAAAUAUUGACGCUGAGGCACGAAAGCGUGGGGAUCAAACAGGAUUAGAUACCCUGGUAGUCCACGCCCUAAACGAUGAUUACUCGACAUUUGCGAUACACAGCAAGUGUCUGAGCGAAAGCAUUAAGUAAUCCACCUGGGA
This 722-nucleotide ribosomal RNA is filed under the name Chitinophaga niabensis. RNAcentral's name for it is "bacterial SSU rRNA". It matches the Rfam family "Bacterial small subunit ribosomal RNA", at positions 155 to 878 of the family's 1533-position model. The record is from RNAcentral. Lineage: Bacteria; Pseudomonadati; Bacteroidota; Chitinophagia; Chitinophagales; Chitinophagaceae.